Molecule: ribosomal RNA, 258 nt
Filed under: uncultured bacterium
Lineage: Bacteria
Description: partial 16S ribosomal RNA
Rfam family: Bacterial small subunit ribosomal RNA
Source: RNAcentral
UACGUAGGCAGCAAGCGUUGUUCGGAAUUACUGGGCGUAAAGAGUGUGUAGGCGGUGCUCUAAGUUUGGUGUGAAAUCUCCCGGCUCAACUGGGAGGGUGCGCCGAAAACUGGAAUGCUUGAACAUGGGAGAGGAAAGCGGAAUUCCUGGUGUAGCGGUGAAAUGCGCAGAAUAUCAGGAGGAACACCGGUGGCGAAGGCGGGUCUCUGGGCCAAUGACUGACGCUGGAGGAAGCGAAAGCGUGGGGAGCGAACAGGA